Molecule: long non-coding RNA, 1415 nt
Filed under: Marmota monax (woodchuck)
Lineage: Eukaryota; Metazoa; Chordata; Mammalia; Rodentia; Sciuridae
Source: RNAcentral
UGAAGGACUAACACUUUGCCAGUAUAACAUGUGAAUCUUGAUCCACAAUUCAAGUGGACAAGGAAUAUACCUAUUUUUUUAUAAUCCAUCAUAAGUUCUCUUGAAACUUUGUUGUUUGAUGUAUCUGGUCUCCAUUUGAGGUUUCUCUCUUCCUAUGUAUUUUUGUUUAAUAAUUUAUAGGCAGAGAUUCAGCUAUGUAUCAUUUUUAAGAAAAGGGAGGCAGUAAAACACAAAAACUUAGGCAAGUUGAGAAUAAUGAGAGCAACCUAAGCCAUAAAGUGCAGACAUGUAUUAUCUUGAAGGACACCACUUCCUCUUAUGCACUCUGGGAAUAGGGCAUAUUAGUGUUAUCUCUAGAAAGCUACUUUCUUUUUUUUCAGGAAGUAGGAUUGGUACUGGGGAUUGAACCCAGGGAGCUUUACUACUGAGCUACAUUCCAACCCUUUUUUAUUUACUAUUUUAUUUUGAGACAGGGUCUUACUAAGUUGCAGAGGCUUGCCUCCAACUUGUGAUCCUGCCUCUGUCUUCCGAGUCACUGGGAUUAUAGGAGUGCACCACCAUGCCUGGUUUAGAAAGCUACUUUCUUGCAUAUACACCAGAACAGUUUGCUCCUUAGGAUGCUGGUCAUACAAGCAAACUAAGCAAGCUUAUGAGAUGUCAUUGCUUCUGUAGCCUAACUUAUAAAACCCCCUCUCUCAGUAGUGACUGGCACAGAACUGAGAGCACUAUGGAAAGAAUUUGUGUCAUUCAUCUAGUUGGCUGCCACUGGACAAAAAGCUGUGAAGGAGAGGAGGUACUGUUUGGCAAAGCAGAGAGGACAGAUGUGCUUGCUAUCUGUUUAGCCUAUGGCCACUGGACUCUUCUUGGAGCAGUUGCUGAUCUCUUGUAAGCUUUGCCCCAUAAGUCAUAUGUCUUGCAUGCUGUCUCUGGGCACUUUCUCUGGUCUUUCAGCAACCUUCCUCACUGCCCUGGCACAAUUGGGUUGUGGAUGUGAAAAGCUUCACAGAUGAUUCUAACGUAUAGCCGGUAUUGAAGACGUGUGGGAGAUAGGAGAGCUGGGUGUGGCAAGAAGGCUAAGGAAAGAAUGGAAAUCCAUUACUAUUUCAGAAUUAUUCUAUUACAUUAGCUAAUAGCUAGCUGUACACAAAACCCACUGAAAGGAAUGGCAUUGGAACAACUAGUGGGGAGGUGAAUUAGAGUUAGAAAUACUCUACUCCCAGCUACUCAAAGCAUAAUUCUCAGACUAGCAUCCCAGGCAUCACCUUGGAAUUGUUAGAAAUGCAAAAAUCUCAGACUCUACCCCAAACAUAUAGCAUUAAUCUGCUAAGUACUGCCCUACUCUGCCAUUUUGCUAAAAGCGGGCUCCUAGGAGGAGGAAGACAGUCAGAAACCAGUUUUUGUUUUUUGUUUUUGAU